AAAUGGUAAAAACCCACAUUGAAAAUUUUGUGAUUAAUGGUUUAAAUUUUUUUGUUCAAGCAAGAUACAAAUGAUCAUAAAUCGUAUGAAUAUGAAGUCUCAUUAACAAAUAUUCAUAUUAUAUAUAUAUAUAUAUAUAUUAAUAUCAUUUAUAUUAUAUUUAUAUAAUAUAAAAUAUGUUAAUUUUAAAAUUUGCACUGAAAAAUAAUUGAGAUCUUAAUAUUAGAUGAUAACUUAUGGAAAGGAAAUAAGAAAUAAAUCAAGAGCAGAAAAACCUAAUCUUUUUUUCAUCAUUUUAUAAUCGAUGUUGUCUAUCUGGUUUUAGUGUCGGCCACAAAACUUAAUUUCCUUUAUAUUAAGUCUUAAAAAUAAUUAAAAUACGAUGUAAUACGUUAAUUUUUCAACAACGGUGGUACAUUUAAGAUACCAACAUUUUUAUUCGUUAUUUUACAAUCGAUAAAUAUUGUAGUGUUGUAAAAUGUUAAAACUAUUUAAUGAACAAAUAUUAAUAUAAAAAACUCAUUCCGCGCAUGCGCGCGGGUUAUCAUCUAAUCUAAACUAUACUAAAAGCACAAUAUAAAGCCCUAUGAAGCCCUCCACGUCGGAUAGAAAAAACGACCAAUAGUAAUGCAGCAAACAGCCACGUCAUCUGUCAUCUUCGAUUUAUUUUGUUUUGGGCUUAGUUUGUUUUCGGCCUGUUUUCUGCAUCUUAUAGAUGAGUAUUGUUUUUGUUUUGUUACGUUUUGUUUCGACUGAAUAUGGGCUUUCGCAUUUACAUUAUAUUAUAAGCCCAAGAAACUCAUCCGUAAAAGAAGAUGACGUCUCCUCUUCACUUUGUUUUUACGUUUCACUCUAGCAACCCUAGCCAUACUGAUUCCCUCCCCACUCGAUUCAGCUGAGAAACGGCAGUCGUAAUGGCACUCAAGCCUCAAUCUCCACUACUUCAUCUUCAAUGCUUCUUUUCUUCAUCUUCAAGCUCUCAGCAUGGCGUAUAUAUAUAGAGGGUUUGGCAGUCUUAGCCCCAUCUAUUUGGUCUGCCUUUAGUCGUAGAACCCUAAAUCUCUCUCACCAGAAUCCUAUAAGCACCAACUUCGGUUCUCGGAAGGUCGCAAUGUCAAGAAAGGUGGAGAGUUAAUGGAUGUCGAUCUGGUCGUGCUAAUGGAAAGGGACCUUAUCCUGAUGGAGUUUUUCCGCUUCUGCAAUUACGACCACCUCAUAUUGAUGGUCAGUCAGUUCUGAAUUCUUUGACAGUGUCAGAACUUAAUUCAUGUGUUCUCAAAUUCCCAUCCGCAGUAAAUUUCUAAGUCAGUCCCUUGGAUUAAAUAUUUUUUUCUUAUAUUUUAGUAACUCAUAUCCGUUUUUAAGAAGGUACCGUGUUGAGAUUAAUGUAUCAGAUACGUCAGACUCUGAUAUGUUCGCUCCUCUCAUACACACAUGGAAUUGCACAUCCAAUUUAUACAUCUCAAGGGUCACAAAACCUGAGGGUUUGUGUUAGGAAAGACUGUGCUAAAAGAAGCUGUUGGAUUGGAAAAGGAUGACAAGGGAACAAAGGGAGAUAGAAUCAAUGAAGAGAGCCAAUUCAAUGGAAUAGUUUUGUGGUGACAAAGCCAGGACAGGCUGCUCUCUUGACCAAAUUGUGAUACACAACAAAUGUAAGAUUCUGAUAAUUCUCAUGUACUAAAUUUUUGUCAUCAGGAAGAAUGCUUUUCAUUACUCCUCACAAUGACUACGCUGAGAAAGAUCGUGUAACCCUCAAAUUAAUAUACUUUCCUAAUUGCAGGCUUGAGAUUUAGUUUCCAUUGUAAGCAUACCAAUAAUGGUUUGAAGCAAUUUAUUAAAGUAUUAACUACUGAUGCAUUCUCUUCAGUUGUUUCGUGCAGACUAUUACGUCAGAUGAUCAGAGAAACAACAGCUCACAUGUGAAAACUGAUACAGAGAGAAAUAUCUCACCUAUGCAUUUUUGGAGGAUCCUUUUGCACAUACAUCUCAACCUUGGCGACUGGUUUCAUUCCGCAGCUCCUGCAAAUAUAUUUGUUGUAUGGAGUAUAUUACUAUCAAUCUUCUUCCCAAUGUCUUUAUGUUUGAGACUGUUAAACCCCGUUUUAGUAAUCUGUGAUUCUAUUUCAUCUCUCGAGAUUACUUUGUUUUAUGAAUGCUUUUCCAUAUUUAGAGUGAGAGAGAUAAGCAAAGUUGUGAAAUGUUAUUUAGAUGACAUGUAUUUAAAUGAUUAUUAAACUUAUGUAUAAUUUUAUUUUACAAUA
This is a long non-coding RNA of Brassica rapa (field mustard), 2261 nucleotides long. RefSeq lists it as uncharacterized. The record is from RefSeq and is a predicted model, not a curated record. Lineage: Eukaryota; Viridiplantae; Streptophyta; Magnoliopsida; Brassicales; Brassicaceae.